RNAcentral lists this ribosomal RNA (507 nucleotides) under uncultured bacterium. Its description in RNAcentral is "bacterial SSU rRNA". It matches the Rfam family "Bacterial small subunit ribosomal RNA", at positions 29 to 507 of the family's 1533-position model. The record is from RNAcentral.
AUGAACGCUAGCGACAGGCCUAACACAUGCAAGGUCGAGGGGCAUCGGGGUGUAGCAAUACGCUGCCGGCGACCGGCGGAUGGGUGAGUAACGCGUAUGCAACCUGCCUUCAGCAGGGGGAUAGCCCGUUGAAAGACGGAUUAAUACCCCAUAACACAGGGGCUCCGCAUGGAGAUUAUUGUUAAAGGGAUACUUCCUUCGGGGGGUAUUCCGGCUGAAGAUGGGCAUGCGUUCCAUUAGGUAGUUGGUUGAGGUAACGGCUCACCAAGCCUGCGAUGGAUAGGGGAACUGAGAGGUUGGUCCCUCACACUGGUACUGAGACACGGACCAGACUCCUACGGGAGGCAGCAGUGAGGAAUCUUGGUCAAUGGACGGAAGUCUGAACCAGCCAUGUCGCGUGAAGGAGGACGGCCCUAAGGGUUGUAAACUUCUUUUGCAGGGGAAUAAAGUAUUCCACGAGAUGGGAUAUUGCAAGUACGCUGCGAAUAAGGAUCGGCUAACUCCGUG